AGAGUUUGAUCCUGGCUCAGAUUGAACGCUGGCGGCAGGCCUAACACAUGCAAGUCGAGCGGAUGAAAGGAGCUUGCUCCUGGAUUCAGCGGCGGACGGGUGAGUAAUGCCUAGGAAUCUGCCUGGUAGUGGGGGACAACGUUUCGAAAGGAACGCUAAUACCGCAUACGUCCUACGGGAGAAAGCAGGGGACCUUCGGGCCUUGCGCUAUCAGAUGAGCCUAGGUCGGAUUAGCUAGUUGGUGAGGUAAUGGCCCACCUAGGCGACGAUCCGUAACUGGUCUGAGAGGAUGAUCAGUCACACUGGAACUGAGACACGGUCCAGACUCCUACGGGAGGCAGCAGUGGGGAAUAUUGCACAAUGGGCGCAAGCCUGAUGCAGCCAUGCCGCGUGUAUGAAGAAGGCCUUCGGGUUGUAAAGUACUUUCAGCGGGGAGGAAGGCGGUGCGGUUAAUAACCGCGCCGAUUGACGUUACCCGCAGAAGAAGCACCGGCUAACUCCGUGCCAGCAGCCGCGGUAAU
RNAcentral lists this ribosomal RNA (521 nucleotides) under uncultured endophytic bacterium. RNAcentral's name for it is "bacterial SSU rRNA". It matches the Rfam family "Bacterial small subunit ribosomal RNA", at positions 8 to 524 of the family's 1533-position model. The record is from RNAcentral.